UGAGUCCUUGGUAUCUGGCUGCGACAUCUGUCACCCCAUUGAUCGCCAGGGGUUGAUUCGGCUGAUCUGGCUGGCUAGGCGGGUGUCCCCUUCCUCCCUCACCGCUCCAUGUGCGUCCCUCCCGGAAGCUGCGCGCUCGGUUGAAGAGGACGACCUUCCCCGAUAGAAAGGAAGACCGUCCUUCGGUCAAGGGUAUACGAGUAAGCUGCGCUCCCCUGCUAGAACCUCCAAACAAGUCUCAAGGAUGUAGAACUAUUAACCUGUUCCUGCCCCCAAAUGAUAGGAUAACUUCACAGCCAGCAUCCACAUGGUAGUUACAUAAUCCAUUGUCAACUUGAGACUAUUAAG
This 348-nucleotide small RNA is filed under the name Echinops telfairi (small Madagascar hedgehog). RNAcentral's name for it is "7SK RNA (ENSETEG00000024314.1)". The stretch from base 1 to 278 matches the Rfam family "7SK RNA". Rfam says of the family: 7SK was discovered as an abundant small nuclear RNA in the mid-70s but a possible function has only recently been suggested. Two independent studies have found that 7SK RNA binds the CDK9/cyclin T complex (known as elongation factor P-TEFb). The record is from RNAcentral. Lineage: Eukaryota; Metazoa; Chordata; Mammalia; Afrosoricida; Tenrecidae.